CGUAGGGCGCGAGCGUUGUCCGGAUUUAUUGGGCGUAAAGAGCUCGUAGGCGGCUUGUCGCGUCGUCCGUGAAAACCUGCAGCUCAACUGCAGGCUUGCGGUCGAUACGGGCAGGCUGGAGUUCGGUAGGGGAGACUGGAAUUCCUGGUGUAGCGGUGAAAUGCGCAGAUAUCAGGAGGAACACCGGUGGCGAAGGCGGGUCUCUGGGCCGAUACUGACGCUGAGGAGCGAAAGCGUGGGGAGCGAACAGGAUUAGAUACCCUGGUAGUCCACGCUGUAAACGUUGGGCGCUAGGUGUGGGGGGCCUCUCCGGUUCUCUGUGCCGCAGCUAACGCAUUAAGCGCCCCGCCUGGGGAGUACGGCCGCGAGGCUA
RNAcentral lists this ribosomal RNA (373 nucleotides) under uncultured organism. RNAcentral describes it as "bacterial SSU rRNA". It matches the Rfam family "Bacterial small subunit ribosomal RNA", at positions 526 to 896 of the family's 1533-position model. The record is from RNAcentral.